CAGUAGCCGCGGGAAUACGUAGGGUGCAAGCGUUAAUCGGAAUUACUGGGCGUAAAGCGUGUGCAGGCGGUUAUAUAAGUCAGAUGUGAAAUCCCCGGGCUCAACCUGGGAACUGCAUUUGAGACUGUAUGACUAGAGUGUGUCAGAGGGGGGUAGAAUUCCACGUGUAGCAGUGGAAUGCGUAGAUAUGUGGAGGAAUACCGAUGGCGAAGGCAGCCCCCUGGGAUAACACUGACGCUCAUGCACGAAAGCGUGGGGAGCAAACAGGAUUAGAUACCCCGGUAGUCCCUGUCUCUUAUAC
RNAcentral lists this ribosomal RNA (301 nucleotides) under uncultured bacterium. Its description in RNAcentral is "partial 16S ribosomal RNA". It matches the Rfam family "Bacterial small subunit ribosomal RNA", at positions 509 to 807 of the family's 1533-position model. The record is from RNAcentral.